UCGUCGGGCUUCGCAGCCCUGUCGAGAUAGCACCCUUUGUCCUUUUUGGCGCACUUGUCUUGUUUCCUCGGGCUGGCACCCCCAGCCCGCGAGGACCAACAACCAAACCUUUGCAGUUUCUGUCACGGUCUGAUCUAAACAAAAAAAUCGUAA
RNAcentral lists this unclassified non-coding RNA (153 nucleotides) under uncultured fungus. Its description in RNAcentral is "sequence contains ITS1, 5.8S rRNA gene". The record is from RNAcentral. Lineage: Eukaryota; Fungi.